AGCUUUGCUCAGAGAAUGAACAGUAGCAGAGAGGUUUUAAUGCAGCUGCAAAAUAGUGUGAAUUAUGACAGACUGGUCUUUGGCACUGGGACAAAACUCACAGUAAUAGGGAAAAACGAUGAAAUCAGACCACCAGCUGUGGCCAUCUUUUCACCAUCAAAGCAAGAGAUUCAACAGAAGAACAAGGCCACGCUGGUAUGCCUGGCCUCUGGUUUCUACCCUGAUAACCUCAAUUUAGUCUGGAAGGUGAAUGGUGUGAAGAGAACAGAAGGAGUGGGAACAGAUGAGACUUCCACAUCAAAUGGGAGCACUUAUGCAUUGACCAGCAGACUGAGAAUCUCAGCCCAAGAGUGGUUCAAUCCUCUGAAUCGUUUUGAGUGUAUUGCCAAUUUUUUUAAGAAUAAAACACUGGAAUCAAUACACAAAUUCAUCUAUGGUGAUACUGGAUGCAUGCUUACUAAAGAGUCCUACUUGCGGUAUGGGAAUUCUAUGAAACUCACUUACCUCAUUCUGUGUGGCAAAGCCUUCCUCUAUGCAAUUUUGGUGUGCGCUCUGACAUGGACAGCCAAGGCUCGUGGCAAGCUAUAUAAAGAAUAAGUGGAUCAUCUUAUCCAUUGCAUCAACAGGAAAACAGCAAAUUCUACUUUUUUCUUUUCUGUAGAAAAGAGUCCAAGCUUCUUAAUAUCCUCUUUCUUCACGUUUCUCAGUUCUCUGCUGUUCUUUCUGCUUUGCUUUAAUCACUGCCAGAUUUCCCAUGGACAUACAAGGUAAUAUCUGUUGUAGCUUUUAAACACCUUCUUGCCACGCAGAGGUGUCAGCUCCUUAAAUUAGGAAUAAAAUUCAAGUUUCACCACAUUCAA
Molecule: non-coding RNA, 860 nt
Organism: Coturnix japonica (Japanese quail)
Lineage: Eukaryota; Metazoa; Chordata; Aves; Galliformes; Phasianidae
Source: the annotation of a RefSeq genome assembly